This 616-nucleotide ribosomal RNA is filed under the name uncultured bacterium. RNAcentral's name for it is "bacterial SSU rRNA". The stretch from base 1 to 542 matches the Rfam family "Bacterial small subunit ribosomal RNA", at positions 338 to 873 of the family's 1533-position model. The record is from RNAcentral.
CCUACGGGAGGCAGCAGUGGGGAAUUUUGGACAAUGGGCGCAAGCCUGAUCCAGCCAUGCCGCGUGCGGGAAGAAGGCCUUCGGGUUGUAAACCGCUUUUGUCAGGGAAGAAACGCGCCGAGCUAAUACCUCGGCGUAAUGACGGUACCUGAAGAAUAAGCACCGGCUAACUACGUGCCAGCAGCCGCGGUAAUACGUAGGGUGCAAGCGUUAAUCGGAAUUACUGGGCGUAAAGCGUGCGCAGGCGGCUUUGCAAGACAGAUGUGAAAUCCCCGGGCUCAACCUGGGAACUGCAUUUGUGACUGCAUGGCUAGAGUGCGGCAGAGGGGGAUGGAAUUCCGCGUGUAGCAGUGAAAUGCGUAGAUAUGCGGAGGAACACCGAUGGCGAAGGCAAUCCCCUGGGCCUGCACUGACGCUCAUGCACGAAAGCGUGGGGAGCAAACAGGAUUAGAUACCCUGGUAGUCCACGCCCUAAACGAUGUCAACUGGUUGUUGGACGGCUUGCUGUUCAGUAACGAAGCUAACGCGUGAAGUUGACCGCCUUGGGGAGUCGGCGCAAGGUUGAACGUUCAAGGAUUGACGGCUUGNGAGNGCGAGGCGACGACGAGGGAGGAGG